GGACCCUUAGCUCAAUCGGUAGAGCUUUGUACUUAUGAGGUUAAUGUAUGCAAGGGUCCCGAGUUCGAUUCUCGGAGGGUCCA
Phlebiopsis gigantea 11061_1 CR5-6 is the source of this 83-nucleotide transfer RNA. It matches the Rfam family "tRNA". Rfam says of the family: Transfer RNA (tRNA) molecules are approximately 80 nucleotides in length. Their secondary structure includes four short double-helical elements and three loops (D, anti-codon, and T loops). Lineage: Eukaryota; Fungi; Basidiomycota; Agaricomycetes; Polyporales; Phanerochaetaceae. The record is from Rfam.